UGUGUGUAUAUAUAUUACCUCCUGUAAAUGAGAAGAAACACAUCAUGUCUGUAGUUUGGAAUAUUCCAUACUACAGACUUGAUGUGUUUCAGUUUUCUUGAUCACAGAUUUCGUGAUGCCCUUGUCAUGCAGCCUCUGCAGGCCUUCUGUGUCAGGUUGACUGAUUAGAUAAUUGGAAGCACCUGGCUGACUUUCUGUCCUCACCACUGCAGCCAGGCACAUGUGGCCUCCAGCAGCUUUUUUUAAAUUUGUGGAGGGGCUAGCCAAAGCAAAAACAAAUAUUCUGUUUUAGCAUGCCCCCAGCAGUAUGUUCCCUGUUGCUUUUAUUUGUUGCUACGUUAUUGAUGGCAAGCUGUCAUAGCACUGAAGCUCAUCCAGGUUCCAUAAGGGGUAACCACAAUAAUGGACCGGGCAGCCUGGAUACGUUUGACGUCAACAUCAACUCAACCAAUAUCACUCAUUUUGGCUAUGGAAUUGCUGCAAAUAUGGUUGCUGUGCUGCUGUACGGAAGCAAUUUUGUCCCUAUCAAAAAAAUAGAGACAGGAGAUGGUAUGUUCUUCCAGUGGGUGAUCUGCGCGGCAAUAUGGGUAGUAUCUAUGAUAGGAGACAUGAUCCUGAAGUCACCCAAAUUCUACCCUUUUGCAAUGCUUGGCGGUGUGAUGUGGGCUACAGGCAAUAUAGCAGUGGUUCCAAUUGUGAAAUCGAUUGGUCUUGGUCUUGGAAUGCUAAUCUGGGGAUCCUCUAGUAUGUUGAUGGGCUGGGCCAGUUCAAGAUUUGGCUGGUUUGGGAUAGCUGCUCAGGAUAUUUCCAGGCCAAUAUUAAAUUAUUGUGGAGCUGGGUUGUGUCUGCUCAGUGGCCUCAUCUUUUUCUUUGUGAAAGCUGAUCUAGAGCUACAUCCCAAUUCAGAAUCAAUUCCGCUACUAAUCGACAGAAGAACAAAUUCAGGCAGUCACGCAGCAAGGUCCUCUGAGUUCUGGAUGGACACCAUUGGGCCAAAGGCCAGGCGAUUUAUCGGUUGCCUGCUUGCUGUUGUAGUGGGCCUGCUUUAUGGUUGUUCCUUUGUGCCUAUCCUCUACAUUAAGAGCCAUUCAUCGUGCUAUGACAGCAUCUUCUAUGGAGCCAGUGUCUAUGAUCUCGACUAUGUUUAUGCGCAAUGCUCUGGGAUUUUCGUUGCAAGCUCUGUGUACUUUGCUGUCUACUGUGCAGCCAUGAAUAACAAGCCCAGAGUUUACUCCAGGGCCAUUCUACCAGGACUACUGUCUGGCGUGAUGUGGGCAGUGGCCACAUACUGCUGGUUCCUGGCUAAUAACUACCUGAGUUCUGUUAUCACCUUUCCCAUAGUUACUGCAGGAUACGGUCUGGUGGCAGCACUGUGGGGAACCUUGGUGUUCAGAGAGAUUAAGGGCUUGGGGAACUUCUUCAUCUUCUUCUUGGCCUCAUGUGUGGUGCUGGCUGGGUCCUUGCUCACCGCCUUCUCAAAGCUCUAAUAUCGCAGAACAAAGUCAAGUAAAAACAUCUCGUGGUCAUGUAGCGAUUGUCACAUUUUCUAUCACAGAAUAUGGUGACCGUGUCACUUAAUAUUUAUUCACAGCAUUUCCUAUUAAAAAGAAUAUCCCCA
This is an RNA transcript of Mugil cephalus (flathead mullet), 1618 nucleotides long. It is a transcript of the gene named transmembrane protein 144b, with no coding region annotated. Lineage: Eukaryota; Metazoa; Chordata; Actinopteri; Mugiliformes; Mugilidae. The transcript is spliced from 13 exons. The record is from RefSeq and is a predicted model, not a curated record.